AAUGGCUAGGACAAAGGGUCGCGAUCCUGCGAGGGUGAGCUAACUCUAAAACCCGUCCUCAGAUUGGAUUGCAGGCUGCAACUCGCCCUCAAUGAA
This 96-nucleotide non-coding RNA is filed under the name Eucalyptus grandis. The record is from Rfam by way of RNAcentral. Lineage: Eukaryota; Viridiplantae; Streptophyta; Magnoliopsida; Myrtales; Myrtaceae.